AUGGUUCCUUUGGUCGCUCCCCUCCCGUUCCUUGGAUAACUGUGGUAAUUCUAGAGCUAAUACAUGCCGACGAGCGCCGACCUCCGGGGACGCGUGCAUUUAUCAGACCAAAACCAACCCGGGCUCGCCCGGCGGCUUUGGUGACUCUAGAUAACCUCGAGCCGAUCGCACGCCCCCGUGGCGGCGACGACCCAUUCGAAUG
This 202-nucleotide ribosomal RNA is filed under the name Meleagris gallopavo (turkey). Its description in RNAcentral is "partial 18S rRNA". It matches the Rfam family "Eukaryotic small subunit ribosomal RNA", at positions 112 to 304 of the family's 1831-position model. The record is from RNAcentral. Lineage: Eukaryota; Metazoa; Chordata; Aves; Galliformes; Phasianidae.